Molecule: long non-coding RNA, 11768 nt
Filed under: Homo sapiens (human)
Lineage: Eukaryota; Metazoa; Chordata; Mammalia; Primates; Hominidae
Description: non-protein coding lnc-IMPAD1-1:1
Source: RNAcentral
UCCAGUUCCCUUCUCAUUGCAGAACCACAGGCAGAUAAAGAGAAUUAGGCUGGUUUUCGAAUGACCCUGACAGGUAUAAAGAAGCUUUCCAAAAUUUAACUCAGGUGUCGGACCUUACCUGGAGGGAUGUUAUGCUUCUCCUCAGACAAACCCUAACUGCAGCUGAAAAACAGGAAGAUCUGCAGGCAGCUGAGAAGUUCAGAGACAAGCAAUAUGUGUCCUACAGUGCGACAAAAAAACAUAUAAAAAUAAAUAAAUAAAUAAAAAUGCAAGACAAAAUAGGGAAAGAAAAGAAACAAGGGAAACUCCAUUACCAAAAGGAAGAGGGGCAGUACAUAUUGACAACCCUGAUUGGAACCCCAAUGACUCAAGAGUUUAAUAGAAAUACUGAAUACUUUUAAUAUUCAAUAUUGGACAUUUUUAAUAUUGAAAGGCCUACAAAGAACUAGGGCCAAGCUUCUAAAAUUAGUCUGUUUUAAAACUGCUGACAAAAACAUACCUGAGAGAGGGUAAUUUAAAUGGAAAAAAGAUUAAUGGACUCACAGUUCCACAUGGCUGGGGACACUUCACAAUCAUGACAGAAGGCGAAAGGCAAGUCUCACAUAACAGAUCAAAAUGGGCAAGGUUUAGCAGCUCCAUCAUCUUUCUUUGAGAACACUCGACCGGUGGAGUAAGAAUGCCUCAAGUAAGCACGUGUAAGAUUCCAGACAUCGCACUGUGUAUGCCACACACCCCGCCCAAAGAGCUCACUGGCCGCUGCACUGGUGAACAGCCCCACUCAAGGGAAGGAUCAGGGCAGAGGCAAUGACGCCAACUCAGAAGCAUGCCAAUGAAGGAGAAUCCAAGUCAAAAAUAAUACCAUGAACUCGAUUCAUCAAGUCACCCACUACACCCUCUUCCAACUGUAUCUUGCUUCCAUUCCUUCCUGCUCCAAAGUGUUGAAGAAGCUAUCACUCCUACUCUUAAUCUAACUGUCCUGUUAUGCCCUAGCAACAACUUCUCACAAGCCUUUUGGGGCAGUCUGAACAGCUGUCAGGAUAGAGCCUAGUACUGUGGCCCUUUAAAGACCCCACCUACUUGCUCGUUUCCAGUCAUUGCCCCUCUGGGAAGAGGGAAGAUUCUUCCUUCACCCAGGGUGAGUUUUCACCCCUAACCACAAGUGCUCCAGAGUUUACUACCUUAUGUAAACAAGACAUUAAAUGUAAACCUCUCAUUUCCACUGUUUGCCAUGACAUCAUCUCAGGUGUUCCUGGCGCCCACCAGGCAAUCUCCCGAAGCACUCCUUCUGCUGUCCAUGCAAUGUUCUUAAGUCUUCUUUCUGCCCAGUGUGCAAUCUUCCUGGAUGGCCCUUCUGUCACACGUUCACGUCUGACAGAGGUUUCUUCUGCCAAACACUGAAUCUUCUCGGACGUUCUUCUGCCAAAUGUGCAAUCCUGUCAGACAUUCCAGUCACUCUAGGUAACUGGUCUGACAUAAGCAGGGUAUGAGGGGCUUCCCCCACCACCACGAGAAAUGUCAGACAACCAUUAGAUGACGGCCAGGCAGUUGUUGAAAUGUUUCUAUGGAAGAAAACCAUUCGCAGCCUGCCGGUGCCAAAAAAGGGCAGCCUCCCAAAGAACAAAAGAGCCGGAAGGUGGACAUCAGCAGCUUCCCAGUAAAAUCCCAGGAAUCAGGUGCGUGGGCUCAUGCAGGACACUUAACAGCCAGAAGGGCUGGGUUUAGCAGCUCCAUAACCUUCCUCUAAAAACACUCAAUGGGUAAGAAAAGAGCACAUGCCUAAGACUCCAGGAACCACAUGCACGUGUGACACCCAAAACCCAUGGGCUGACAGGCCACGGCACUGGGAGACCCACACAAAGGAAGGAUCAGGGGAGAGGCAAAAACACUACCCUGAAAGCCUGCCAACAAAUGACACCCUGAGUCAAACCCUGCACUUGUUAACUCAGGUCUCGAAAGAGAAAUGAUCAUUCUAAGCACAUCACAGGAAUCACAUGGCCUUCACCAGUGAUGGGUUUAGCAAUAGGCAUGUGCUGUAAUACAGACCAUAUGAUGUUUCCGGAAGGUCACUAUGAGCUGCAGACUUGACUGCCUGUUGAAAAGACACCUGGGAAGAAGACCAACCCAUCCACACUUCAGAUACUGCCUUCAGACAACACGCCAACUGCAGCUGUUGCUACUCAGUCCACCGGAAAAGCACACAUGAACUAAAAACUGCCCACGGCAUGGCUGGAAGGGAAAUGUGAGCAUGACACAACGAUACCAACACAACUCUGGUGCCUAUGGCGUCAGCUGCUAUUAUUUGGGUCGUCUACUAUUUAAAGCCACGAGCAUCCUGAGAAUGUGGCCGUGGCCCGCAAAAUAUAUCCUCUACCCCUCCUGUUCUGGACUGCUCAAAAAUCUUCCCUAAGCUCACUUUUUCUAGACAUUCAAAUUAUGCCCAACGACGUCAGUACCACACUCUUUACAAUAGCAACAAUGUAUGGUUCCUAAAACGGAAAGAAUUCAUGUGAGUCUCUGACCUUUGGAACUUGACAUUCCUUCGGAAAACAGGGAAUCUUCUACAAAUGUUCCUUCUGCAAAUCGCGUGAGCUUCUCAGACGUUCUUUCUGCCACACAUUCCACCUUUAAGAGGUUUCAACGAUGAAACGUUCAGUCUUCUCGCAUGUCUACUCUGCCAAACCGGGGAUCCGAUCACAUAGCUCUUCUGCAAAACAUUCGACCUCAUCAGAAGUGUCUUCCACCAACCAUUCCAUCUUGCCAGAUGUUUCUGUGUUACUGUGGAUGGCUGGACACACAGGAUCAGCGCAUGAGAGGGUCUAGCCCACACCCCACCAGAUAUGUCAGGUGACCAGGAAGUGACAGGGCAGGCCGUCGUUAAAUUGCCUUUCUCAAAUAAGAAAUGAUGGCUGGGAGGCAGCGCCAGGGACGGCAGUGCCCCCAACAGACAGAAAUCCCAGAAGGUGGUGAUGAGCAGCUCCCCAAGAAGGUAUCAGGAGGCAGGCGAGGGGGCUCACACACACCUCCUCACAGGCAUACCGGCCAGGUUUCACUACCCUAUGACCUUCCCCGGGCAACAUCCUACUGCCGAAAAAGACACGCCUCAAGUGAGAGUGCCUGCAACUGCAGGAAAAACGCCAUGCCUACGGCCCCUCCCAGCUGUCAACAGGACACAGCCAAUGUGGACAGCAUACCACGUGAAAAGGGCAGCUCUUUUGGAGAGUGCAGCAAGGCUUUCCGUGAGUCCUCUCGCUUCCUCCUGCUUUAGCCUGUAUCCUCUGUUUCUCUACUCACAGCCAUGCCCUUCUCCAGAUGCUUCCAGGCCUUCCAGGUCCUAUUUGAAGGGAGAAAUGUCCAGCUCCUUGCAGCAGCUAGCUGAAAAACAGGCUCCUCGUCUACUGUGAGAAUCUGGGAAGUGGGAAUCAGACAGCAGAGAUCAUCAUUGUCUUGCUGGAACGCUCUCACCCACAGUCACUCUCACGUCACGCAGACAAGGACAGAGUCCGGACAAAGGCCACAGGUGCAACAGAACGAUAGCACCCAGACCAAGGCUGAUCCCAGGCUAACACACGUCCAUUAGAGCAGGGAGGAAGGCAAGAACAGGGGCACAUGGUAACAACGGUUCAUUCUGGGACCCCAGGGAUGAAUGGGGCUUCCCCGAACCGGUUCACUCCAGCACCUCCUCUCUUCUCCAGUGGGUGAUCAUGACGAGAUGGCACCGGGUUUGGCAGGGAAACAGUAAGACCAAGACAUCCCAGAGCCCUAUGGAUGAACGGGGGAUGCCCUAUUCAGGAUCCUGGGAAAGAUAAGAGAGCCCAAGCAUGAUGGACACAGUCCUUGUAAGCCGCCAAAAACUUUCCUGAAACAGGACCUGGGAAAGAAACCCUGUGCGGUUUGAAAGGUUAUUAGGUCUGUUAAAUGCUUCUGGAAUCGACGCUUUACCAGAGGCCAGUCAGGACCAUUUGCUUACGUGUCAUCUCUGACUGCUUCCACACUGCUACAGCAGGCUUCAGCAGACAUGACAGAGACCACCGGGCCUACAAGCGUUUCCCACCUGCCCCUUUACAGGAAGAACUGGCCAAACCCUGCGUCACGCCGUGACUGGAAAGUCCUAAUACUCACCGCUCAUCUUCUGACUCCCCUGCUCAAAAGCUUCCCGUGAAUCUCUGCAGGAAACCUGGCUGGCUCCCUAUCCACGGAAUUUCUUCUUUCUCGCUGGAGAAAUGCAAGGUUAUCAGGAUCUUUAUCGUUCCCUCAACCCACCCCAGCUCCUGAAGGAGGAAUGAUCAUUCUAAGCUCAUCACAGCAAUCACAUGGUUUUCCCCAGUGACUGGCUUAGCAGUCGGCAUGUGCUGUAACCCAGCCCAUACGAUGUUACCAGAAGGCCACUGUGAGCUGCUGACUUGACUGCCUCUUCAAAAGACACCUGGGAAGAAGAGCAACCCCUCCACCCUUCACACGCUGCCUUCAGAGAACACGCCGACUGCAGCUGUUGCUACUUGGCCCGCCAGCAAAGCAGACAUGAAGUAAACACUGCCCACAGCACAGCUGGAAGGGAAAACGUGAGCGUGACACGACGAUGCCAACACAAUUCUGGUGCCUAUGGCUUCAGCCGCUCUUACUUGGGUCAUCUACUAUUUACAGCCACGAGCAUCCUGAGAAUGUGGCUGUGGCCCAUAGAAUAUGUCUCUACCCCUCCUACUCCGGACUGUUCAAAAAUCUACCCUCAGCUCGCCUUUUCUAGAUAUUCAAACCACGCCCAACCACUCUCGUACCACACUCUUGCCACCAGCAACACUGAGCUGCUCCUGAACCCGACAGAGUUCACAUGAGCCUCUGACCUUUGGAACUUGCCGUUCCUUCGGGAAAACAGGCAAUCUACUCCCAGUGCUCCUUCUGGGAAUCCUGCGAGCUUCUCAGAUAUUCUCUCUGCCACACCUGUUCCCUCCGUUCCACCCUGCCAGAUGUCUCCUCGGCCAAAACGUUCCGUCUUCUCGCAUGUCUCCUCUGCCAAACCAGGGAUCUGGUCACAUGGCUCUUCUGCAAAACAUUCGAUCUCGUCAGAUGUGUCUUCCGCCAACCACUCCAUCCUGCCAGAUGUUUCUGUGUUACCGUGGGCGGCUGGUCAGACAGGAGCAGCGCAGGAGAGGGCCACGCCCACACCCCACCUGACACCUCAGGUGACCAGGAGGUGAUGGGUCAGGCCACCAUUAAACUGCCUCUCUCAAAUAACAGAUGAUUGCUGGGAGCCCCGCCGGGGACGGGCAGUCCCCCAGACAGACAGAAACCCUGGAAGGUGGCGAUGAGCAGCUCCCCGAGAUCUCAGGGGGUGGGCGAGGGGGUUCACGCUUGCGCAUUCACAGGCAAACCGGCCGGGUUUCACUGUCCUAUGACCCUCCCUGGGCAACAUCCAACUGCCGAGGGAGGCACGCCUCAAGUGAGCACCCCUACGACUCCAGGAAACACGCUGCGCCUGCGGUCCCUCCCAAGUGCCGACAGGCCACUGCCCAUGUGGAUGGCCCGCCCUGUGAAAAGGCUCAGGGGAGGAAGCGACGCAACCCCUGGCUCCUGGAAGCCUGCCAAUGUGUGAGACCUCUCCUCAAAGGUCGAACAAUGCAUGCCCCUGACCUCUCCAGUUGCACACAUGGCAUUCUUCUAAGUGUACCUUAUUGCCUCGCCUCCCUGCUCCGGUACCAUCUGGGAGACCCGCGCUUAAAGUGGCCUCGGUUUCUCUCCCUCCGCCUCAUGCCCCUCAGUCAAACUCCCUCUGACGAGGCAAGAGCUCAGGUUGCUGCGUGCAGGCCUCUAUGGAUCCACCGCCGCGGACGUCCCUACCGCCAAACACCCCAUCUUAGCGGAUGUUUUCUCUCCCAAAUGUUCCCUCUUUCCAGCUGUUUCCUUUGCACGGCAUGCAAUCUUCCUAGGUGUUCCGUCUACCCACCGUGGAAUCUGCUCAGAGGUUCCUUCUGCCCACCAUGAGACCUGCUUAAGGGUUUUCUGCUGUUGACCACGCCAUCUUCGCACUUAGGCCUUCUGCUAAACGUGCAGUCUACCUGAGUGUUCCUUCUGCCAAACAGCUAGUUGUGUCCGCUCCCUCCCCUGACAAGCGCUCAGUCUUGUCCGGCGCACCAUGGGCCCAAUACUUCCUCCACCCAGAUGUUUCUUGGGCAGGCCUUGCAAUCUGCCUAGGGCGUCCAACUGCCCAUCCUGCAGUCUUCUCACGGGUUCCCUCACCCUGCCAGCCCCCCCUGCAAUCUCCCUACCCUAAGGUUUCCUCAUGCUGAUCACCAGAUGUUCUUAGCAGUUCCUUCCGAAAUCGCUGCAGUCUGCUUAGAUGUUACCUCUGUCACACUCGGCUGUCAGAUGUUCCUUCCGCCAGACACUCCAUCUCGUCAGAUGAUCUUCUGGCACACGUUCAAUCCUGUCAGGUGUCCCUCUCCGUCACACGUGCAGAGCGGGGCCCGAGAGGGUUCCCCACCACCAGUAAAUGUUAGGCAGCCGCGAGGUGAUGGUCGUGUGGUCUCAAAGCAGACUCUCUAGAGAAAUCACUGGCGCAGGCAGUGCCAGGGAAAGGCAGUCCCCCUCCCCCACAGCAGUCAGGAACAUCGGAAGCAUCCCUGGCAGACCUUGUGAGUUGGGCAAGUGGGCUCACGCACGUGCCCUGAGAGGCAAACUGGUGGGAGGUUCACUGCUGUAGGACCUUUACCCCUGGACACAUUCGUCUGCUUGCUGGAGAAAUGCCUCAAGCAAGCACGCUAACAACUCCAGUAAGCACACAGCACCUGCGGCCCCCGCCCCUCCACCCCACAAGAAGAUGCUAACAGGCCACUGCGCCAGUGGACUGCCCCCUCUUCCCCGACAAGAGAAGCAUCAGGGGACCGGCAGCAAUGCUGCCAAUGGGGGAGACCCCGAGUCGAAGGUCCAGCCCUGCACUGCACCUCUCAGGCUGCUGCCUGCCUGGGCCUCUUCCAAGCCUCCUUGACUUCCUUUGGCUCCUGCCACAAUACCGUUUCAGGAACUUUCGCCCCUGCUCCAACGUGUUCCUCAGUCUCUCCCUCUGCCUUGUGCCCCUCGGUCGAUGUCCUUCUGCUCAGGAGGCAGGAACCGAGGUUGCCGCAGGCCUGCACGCAUCUGCCGCCACUCACGGGCCCCACUGCCAAACGUGGAAUCUUGCCCAAUGUGCCUGUCCUCAGCCAGACAUGCCAUCCCUUCAGAUGCUUCUUUCGCAGGCCACGCACUUGCAUGCUUCCUACGUUUUCCUCCCUGCUGCUGUGCCAUCAGCUGCAAGGUUUCUGCUGUCCACCAUGCAACCUUCUCACAUGUUCCUUCCACCACACGUGCAAUCUCCCUAAGCAUCCCUUCUCCCAAACGCUCCACUCUGUCCCUUGUUCCCCCUGGCAAGCAUCCCAUCUUCUCAGGUGUUUCUUCUGCCACAUAUUUAAUCAUCUUCACAUGUUGCCUCCCAAGGCCUUGAAUCCUUCCCAGCUCAUCCUCCCGCACACCCCGCAAUCCUCCCAGAUGCUACCGCCGCCCACCGGGCAAUCUCCAGAGGCACUCCUUCUGCUGUCCAGUGCUCUUAGGUCUUCCUACUACCCAAUGUGCAAUCUUCCCAGAUGGGCCUUCUGCCACACAUUCACAUCUGAUCUGGCAGGUGUUUCUUCUGCCAAACAUGCAAUCCUGUCAGACGUUCCUGUCACUCACGGUAGCUGGUCUGACGUGAGCAUGGUACCAGGGGGUCUCCCUACCUCCAUCAGGAAUGUCAGACCACCAUGAGGUGACUGUCACGUGGUUCUUGAACCCUAUCUAUGGAGGAAAACCGCUCACAGCCAGCCAGUGCCAAGGAAGGGCAGGCUCCCAAUGGACGGAAGCGCAGGAAAGUGGACAUCAGCAGCCUCCCUCUGAGAUCCCAGGAGUCAGGCAUGUGGGCUCACACAGGACCCCCUGACAGCCACACUGGCGGGGUUCAGCAGCUCUGUCUCCUUCCUCUGAGAACACUCGACAGGUAGAGGAUGUACACCUCAAGUGAGCACACCUAAGCCUCCAGGUAUGGCAUUGCGGCUGUCACACCCCCCGCCCACAAGCUGACAGGCCGCGAUGCCAGUCAACAGCCCCACCCAAGGGAAGGAUCAGUGGAGAGGCAACAAUGCCACCCCCAAAACCUACCAAUGGAGGAGACCCCAAGUCGAAGGUCAAACCCUGCACUCUGUCCCUUAGGUUGCCCGCUUCGCCCUCUUCCAACUGUAUCUUGCUUGCUUUCCUUCCUGCUCCAAAGUGCUGAAGCAGCUUUCACUCCUGCUCUUCACCCUGCCUUCCUCUUACGCCCCAGGGCCAACUUCUUAGGGGGCUUUUGGGGCAGUCUGUCCCACCACCUGCAUAGGGCCUCAUUCUGUGGCUCUUUGGGACCCCAUCUACUUGCUCAUUUCCAGUCAGCACCCCUCUGGGAAGAGCAAAGAUUCUUCCUUCACGCCAGGCGCGUUUUCACCCCAAGCCACAAGUGCUCCAGAGGUUACUACCUUUCUUCAGGUAGGCAUUAAACAUGGCCCUCUCGAGUGCGAGGGCAGCUCUUUUGGCGAGCGCAACAAGGCUUUCCAUGAGUCUUCCUCUCUCGCUUCCUCCUGCUUCAGUCUGUAGCCUGUUUCUCUACUCCCAGCCGCACCCUUCUCCAGAUGCUUUCAGACCUUCUAGGUCCUAUCUGAAGGGAGAAAUUUCCAGCUCCCUUGCAGCAGCUAGCUGAAAAACAGGCUCCUCGUCUAGUGUGAGAAUCUAGGAAACAGGAAUCAGACAGCAGAGAUCAUCAUUGUCUUGCUGGAAUGCUCUCAGCCACAGUCACUCUCAUGUCACAGACACAAGGACAGAGACCGGACCAAGGCCGCAGGCGCAACAGAUCCAUAGCACCGAGACAAAGGCUGAUCCCAGGCUAACACAUGACCAUUAGAGCAGGGAUGUAGGCAAGGCCAGGGGUACAUGGUAACACCGGUUCAUUCCGGGCUCCCAGGGAUGAACAGGCCUCCCCCGAUCCCAUUCACUCCAGCACCUCCUCUCUUCUCCAGUGGGUGAUCAUGACAAGAUGGGAAUGGGGUUAGCGGGGACACAGUAAGGCCAAUGCUUCCCGGAGCCCUAAGGCCAAAUUGGGGACGCUGUAUUCAGGAUCCUAGGAAAGUCAAGAGAGCCCAAGCACGUUGGAGAAGGUCCUUGUAAGCUGCCAGAAACAUUCUCAAAAGGGGACCCGGGAAACAAAUGCCAUGCGGUUUGAAAGGUUGUUAGGUCUGUUAAACACUUCCACAACGGACGCUUUACCAGAGGCCGGUCGGGAGUAUUUGCUUACGUGUCAUCUCUGACUGCUUUCACGCUGCUACGGCGUGAACGGAGACCAUGAUACCUAUGAGUGUUUUCCACCUGGCCCUUUACAGGAAGAGCUAGCCAAUCCCUGCAUCGUGCCAUGACCAGAAUGCCCUAAUACUGACUGCUCAUCUUCUGACUCCCCUGCUCAAAAGCUUCCCAUGAAUCUCUGCAGGAAACCUGGUUGGCUCCCUAUCCACAGCCAUUGUUUCUUCUCACUGGAGAAACACAAUUUUAUUUGGAUCUUUAUCAUUUCCCCAGAUCCAAAAGUAGAAAUAAUCAUUCUAAGCUCAUCAUAGGAAUCAUCACGUAUUCACAAACCUCAUUCGUUAGAACAUGCCAGUAAAGGAAAAAUAUAACUCACUUACUUAAAUUGUUAUUUAUUCAAAAAUAUUUUUUAAAAUUGUAGGCAACAAAAUUCAAUAAAGGAUUGUUUUUAAGACAAUAGGUUUUGAGAUUAUAAACUAUCUACAAACUAAAUUCUUAACUGUGAAUACUAAACUAUUCAAAGAAAAAAUUUUAUAUAAAUACAAACAUAUUUACACACACAUGCACAGCCACACAGACAUACCAUUGACACACUAAAUUUCUUUUUUGUGAUCGAAACUCAAUAAUCUUAUGCUAGCACCACCAAGAGUAGCUUAGUAUUAAAAGUCUUACCUGGAUUGCUGUUUUGAGGACUUUUAGGUAUCUUUAUUUCAGAUUCCAAACAUUCUUGGUAAAUGCUAUGUAUCAAAUAUGUGAUAAAUUGAGGUAUUAUUUCAACACUGAUAUUAAAAAUUUACCCAAUGUGUUAAAUUCCUAGGGUAUUUCAGAGUGUCGGGGUAAUAUCUGAAAUCUACUUAUUCCACAGACUUCUAACUUAUUAGCUCUAUGCACUUAUUAAGCUUCAAAUUGAAGAAAGCAAAGUGAAAUACUCAUGAAUUCAGGGCAGUAUAGCUCAGGAAAUUAACUAGAGUUAGCUUGACGUAAUGGAAAAUGUCCUGAUCUCCUAAGUUUGAGUUCUGUAACCAACACCUAUUUGUUCUUCAGCAAGUUGCUUCUCUUAGGCUCAAUGUCUUCUUCUAAUAUGAGGUUUUUAGUGCCUUAUUUCAGUAGGUUAUUACAAAGUUUUAACAACAUAACAUUUGAAAAACUGUUCAAAGAAACAGUAAUGGAAUACUUAAUCUUGAAGCUUAUAGCUGAAACUAUUUUAAAAUCCCAAAUAAAACCCAAUGUGUUGGCCAGAUGCAGUGACUCGCCUGUGAUACCAGCACUUUGGGAGGCUGAGACAGGAGGAUCACUUGGGCUCAAUACUUCAAGACCAGCCUGCGCAACAGGGAGACCCUGUAACUACAAAAAAUAAAAGAUAAAUUAUAAAAAACCAAUGUGUGUUUCUUCAUAGGAUCUAAUAUUCAAAUGUUGUAGUUUUCAGAAACUUAUUAAGUCCUACUUUUGGUUAUUAGAUGUUCCAUUUUUUUGUGGCUUGUGAUUCAGGGCAUCUAGGCUAUUUGAUAAUUUGUAAUAAAAUUUAUUUAUAAAUUAAUUCAUCAAAUUAGAUAACAUGAUUAUCCCCUAUUUCUGAGCUCAUCAAUCACACCCAGGGCAGAAAACUAAUAGAUUUCAAGACCUGGCUUGGACUCCUACUUUUCUUUACUGAUCUCCUCGAACUCUGAACCAACAAAUCUUUGUUACAGUGAUGCUUAAACCCCAGUUAUUUUAAAAUAUUUUCACUCAGGGAGCUUGAGCUUCCAAAUAUGAAAAACUGACCCCUACAUAUGACAAUGUUAAAACAAAUGUGUGGGGAAAAGCAAGAGAGAUCAGAUUGUUACUGUGUCUGUGUAGAAAGAAGUAGACAUAGGAGACUCCAUUUUGUUAUGUACUAAGAAAAAUUCUUCUGCCUUGAGAUUCUGUGACCUCACCCCCAACCUCGUGCUCUCUGAAACAUGUGCUGUGUCAAACUCAGAGUUAAAUGGAUUAAGGGCGGUGCAAGAUGUGCUUUGUUAAACAGAUGCUUGAAGGCAGCAUGCUCCUUAAGAGUCAUCACCACUCCUUAAUCUCAAGUACUCAGGGACACAAAAACUGCAGAAGGCCGCAGGGACCUCUGCCUAGGAAAGCCAGGUAUUGUCCAAGGUUUCUCCCCAUGUGAUAGUCUGAAAUAUGGCCUCGUGGGAAAGGAAAGACCUGACCUGUCCCUCAGCCCGACACCCAUAAAGGGUCUGUGCUGAGGAGGAUUAGUAAAAGAGGAAGGAAUGCCUCUUGCAGUUGAGACAAGAGGAAGGCAUCUGUCUCCUGCCUGUCCUUGGGCAAUGGAAUGUCUCGGUAUAAAACCUGAUUGUAUGCUCCAUCUACUGAGAUAGAGAAAAACCGCCUUAGGGCUGGAAGUAGGACCUGCAGGCAGCAAUACUGCUUUGUAAAGCAUUGAGAUGUUUAUGUGUAUGCAUAUCUAAAAG